AUUCAAUGUGAAUAAUAGGCGCACUGAAGACCAAAGGAUAAAUCGGGGUAAACGGGGCAGGGCAAGACAAUGCCGCUGGGCGGAGAUGAAGAUUUUGCGAUACCCUCUUCACUUAACGAGAUUCAUGCAGUCCCUUCGGGGCAACAAUAGCAUUGCCACCAGUUGCACAACCCAAGAUGUUGCUGACAGACUGUCCUCUGUGGAAGAGGUUAUAAAAGCAUCUAUGAUUUCAGAAGGGGCAAUAACUCCAAUAACUAACACAGUCUCCAGGGGUGACUCUCAAGCCGUGAAAGUCAGGACAGCGGCAGGAAGCCCCACACCGCCAGCAGGGAUCCUUGGCUGCCAGUGGAAGCUGGGCUUGGCUUUGUGUGGGUUCUGCGCUCCUUCGCCCAGUUUCAAAACCUCCCGCACCUGUGUCUUUCUCCAUGCAAAUGAGCCCAACAGGAAAAACAGGCGCCUGUGGAGGUUUCACAACAACCUAGAAGCUGUCCCAUGCCAGAUCUCUGUCGGUGAGAAAAUGUGUGUGGAUGCUGACUUCUAGAAGACUCCAAAGCGCUUGUCUUCCCCACUCCCCAUUUCCAAAGGCUGAGACUCCUCUGCACUCCGAGUUUCCUCCCACGCUUCGUCUGAAGAGUGGGUUUUGGGGAGUGAAGGAUAGAAAAUAUCUGAAGACUCUUCCCUAUGACUUAAGACAUGAAUUUUCUUCUCAAGUCUUGAACUAAAGUCAGAAAGUGUUUGCAAGAAAUGUUCUUCUAGGUCCCACAUCCACGGGACCAGAUGAUGCCUGGCUCAAUGCAUUCCUAUCUGAAGUGGGGCAGAGAGGCUGGCAGCCUUCUUUACUAACCAGGCCUGGGAUGAGGUCAGGGGACACUGCUCCGUCACAAGCUUCCUGAUGGAGUAGCCAACCUUGCAGAUGGCCCUCGAUGAUCGGCAGUACCUGGUCUUCAUGUGCUUGUGUUGUUCCUCAAUAUUGUCCCUCAAAUGUUGAAUCAGGACUACAGUGGAAAUUAUAAUGUGACUUCUGAGGCCAGGUCAUAAAAGGCAUUGCUGCUUCUGCCCUGGCCUCUUGGAUUGCUUGCUCUGUGAGAAGCUAGCUGCCAUGUUGUGAGGACACUCAAGCAGCUCUGUGGAGAGGCCCAUAUGGAGAGGAACUGAAGGCUGGGCAACAGCCACACCAACUGGCCAGCCAAGGAAAUGAACUAUCUUGGAAGUGGGUCCCUAGCUCCAGCCAGAUGCAUGUAGCCCAGCUAAAAACUGAAUGCACCCUUAGAGCUCCCAAAACAGAACAUUCCAUCCAAGGUGCUCUCAAAUUCUUGAACCAGAGAAACUAGAAGAGAUAACAAUUAUUUUUCUUUUAAGUUCCUAAGUGUUGGGGUAACUUGUUAUGCAGCAAAGCAUAACUAAUAAAUAUUUAGUUCCUAGAAGCAAGAUGCUGCUGUAACAAAAAUCUAAAAAUAUGAGAGUGGUUUUGGGACCAAGAGUGGGAAAAAGUUGUAGAGACCAUGAAGAGAGUGUGAGGGAAAGCCUAAAUGGUCUUAAAGAGACUGUUUUCAGAAAUAUGAUGGCCUUCAAGGAGGCUAUUGGUAAGAUCUUGAAGAAAAUUGAGGAACAUGUUACUGGAAGCUGGAAGAAAGGGGAUUCUUACCCAUGGAACAGCAGAACAUCUAGCACAUUUUGUUAACAUGGAAAAUAGAAAAUGUACCUACUGAACUGGGUGAUCCAGCUAAAAAGAUUUCCAGGCAGAGUGGUAUAGGUGCCACCUUGAUUUUCGUUGCUACUUUGAGUAAAAAUCAGAGGAAAGAUAAGCUAAAGAAGAAAAAAACCUAUUUAUUACAAAAGAGGCAGAAACUGCAGGGUUUGAAAAUGCCCAGUCUGUCAAGGUAACAGACAAUGUGAAAAUUUUAAAAACAUUUUGAGACAAAGAUAAAAUCCAAAGUACAGCCAGAAAAACAGAGCGUAAAGAUGAAACUAAGGUGUGGCUGCAAGGUUUUCUUGUUUAGACCUCAGAACUAUGCAAGGUGUAGUCUUUCAGCCACUUCAUAGCAUCCUAAAGUAGAAAAGAGAUUUGCGGGUGUAGCUUUUGUCUAACAGAGUGAAUGUCAAUAAGAUUCAUAGGACACUUGCAAAAAUUUUAAGAGAAUUUCACUAGCAAAAACAUUGCCAGCUUUGACUGAAUAGAAAAGAAACACUACAAGAUGAACUGAAGACUUCUAUUGGCAAAUAAACUACUCAACUGCAAAAACACGUUUACUUUUAUGAAAAAGAAAAGAUAAUUCAGGGAUUAGAAGCAAGAACCCAGAAGACAGAGCCAAGAGCUGUAAAGAAUCAUUUUCAGCAGUAACAGGACUGAGUCCUGGCCAAGGAACUUGCAUAAUGUUCCUGGCUAGACUUCAAAAUUUAUCAAUAAUAGACAAUCAGUGUACCUAGUAACUACCUGAAGCACACAGAGAAAUCAAAAAGGAUUCAUUAGAGAAGGAAAACUUGCCAAGCAGGUAGGAAUCUGAUUUACAAUUGCUUUUUUUAAAAAAAGACACCUAUGGUGGAGCUUUCUUGACUAAUUUUCUUCCUUGCAUUAUUCUUGAUACACAGAGAAGCCAAACCAGUGAUUCAUCCAUGACUCAGUCAUAAAUAAAGUGGCAAGUGGGAUGCUGACUGACUUUGGCACCUGAAUUCUAAGGUGCUACAGAAGUGUGGAUUUUUAUCAACAAACUAACACAGAGUUGAGGUUUUCAACUCCACUACUAUGAGCCCUGGGACUUCCAAAGAGAUGUCUCUCGGUCUUUCUUGGGGAGGAGUAAAGGUGAGGGUUGCUUUCUCCUUCAAUUCAGCUUGAAACAACUCUGCUUUUUGUUCAAAAAUUUAUACACACAUAUGUGUAGUCUUUGUACAUGAAAAUGUAAAGAAGAAAAUAAAAUUGGUACAGAUUAAGCCCAA
Long non-coding RNA from Homo sapiens (human), 2934 nucleotides. RefSeq lists it as uncharacterized. The transcript has 3 exons. NCBI's taxonomy places the organism in Eukaryota, Metazoa, Chordata, Mammalia, Primates, Hominidae. The record is from RefSeq and is a predicted model, not a curated record.